This 158-nucleotide ribosomal RNA is filed under the name Neisseria subflava. RNAcentral describes it as "partial 16S ribosomal RNA". Lineage: Bacteria; Pseudomonadati; Pseudomonadota; Betaproteobacteria; Neisseriales; Neisseriaceae. The record is from RNAcentral.
ACCUUUUUUUCUGUGAUUCAAAAGAAAAAAGUUCAAAAGAAGUUUGUAAUAUAAUGAGUAAAGGUAAAAGGCGCAUAUACAAUAAGAACACCGAUGGAGAAGAAAGGACACUGAGAAGUCACUCACACUGAGGAGAGAAAGCGUGGGGGGCGAACAGU